RNAcentral lists this ribosomal RNA (400 nucleotides) under uncultured bacterium. Its description in RNAcentral is "bacterial SSU rRNA". It matches the Rfam family "Bacterial small subunit ribosomal RNA", at positions 29 to 416 of the family's 1533-position model. The record is from RNAcentral.
AAUCAACGCUGGCGGCGUGCCUAACACAUGCAAGUCGAACGCGAAAGUCCCGCAAGGGAUGAGUAGAGUGGCAAACGGGUGAGUAACGCGUGGGUGACCUGCCUUCGAGUGGGGGAUAACGUUCCGAAAGGGACGCUAAUACCGCAUGACAUCCUGCCUUUGAAGAGGCGGAGAUCAAAGCCGGGGAUCGCAAGACCUGGCGCUUGACGAGGGGCCCGCGUCUGAUUAGCUAGNGGUGGGGUAAUGGCUCACCAAGGCAACGAUCAGUAUCCGGCCUGAGAGGGCGGACGGACACACUGGGACUGAGACACGGCCCAGACUCCUACGGGAGGCAGCAGUGGGGAAUUGUUCGCAAUGGGCGCAAGCCUGACGACGCAACGCCGCGUGGAGGAUGAAGACC